RNAcentral lists this RNase P RNA (464 nucleotides) under Burkholderiales bacterium. RNAcentral describes it as "RNase P RNA component class A". It matches the Rfam family "Bacterial RNase P class A". From Rfam's summary of the family: Ribonuclease P (RNase P) is a ubiquitous endoribonuclease, found in archaea, bacteria and eukarya as well as chloroplasts and mitochondria. Its best characterised activity is the generation of mature 5'-ends of tRNAs by cleaving the 5'-leader elements of precursor-tRNAs. Cellular RNase Ps are ribonucleoproteins. Lineage: Bacteria; Pseudomonadati; Pseudomonadota; Betaproteobacteria; Burkholderiales. The record is from RNAcentral.
GAAGCUGGCCAGACAGUCGCUGCUCGCGGUGCAAACGUGCGGGUAGAGGAAAGUCCGGGCUCCAGAGAGCAGGAUGCCGGCUAACGGCCGGACGCCGUGAGGCGAUGGAAAGUGCCACAGAAAACAUACCGCCGAUGACUACGCUGACUUCGCGGCCGCAAGGCCGCAAAGUCUCGCUCCGUAAGCGAGCAGGGCGAAGAUCAGGUAAGGGUGAAAAGGUGACAGGCGGAUUUCCGCCUGGUAGCGGCCGCGAAGCGGCGCUAUGGUAAGAGCUCACCGCGUUGCUGGUAACAGCAAUGGCAGGGUAAACCCCAUCCGGAGCAAGGCCAAAUAGGGAAGCGACAGCGUGGCUCGCGCUGCUUCCGGGUAGGCUGCUAGAGCGCGCCGGUAACGGCGCCCCCAGAGGAAUGACUGUCAUAGGGAUGCGUCCCUAACAGAACCCGGCUUAUCGGCCAGCUUCUCCU